Molecule: long non-coding RNA, 526 nt
Filed under: Anas platyrhynchos platyrhynchos (common mallard)
Lineage: Eukaryota; Metazoa; Chordata; Aves; Anseriformes; Anatidae
Description: lncRNA (ENSAPLG00000017028.1)
Source: RNAcentral
ACCUGUGAUACGUAGGAAAUCACACGAGAUGAUCUAAUAGUUUCUUCUGGCCUCAUGCUCUAUGAAUCUAUGAAUAUGUAUCCUCUGAUGUCGACUGGUAAUUAUAUUCCUAAAAGGCAGAAUCGGCAGAAAAGGCUGCUCCAGAAGAAUGAUUUACAUUUUUUACUGGUAUCCAUUGUUCUUUAACGACAUACUGAUAUGGUUCACACCCAACUUCUUUCCUUUCAGAGAUUUUUCUCUUUUUAAAGCCUGUGAGAGGAGCUGGAGCAUUUGGGAAAGCAUGGUGACUGCUAGCCUGCACUGUGAGAAUUCGGUUCUGUGCGAAGGGAUGCACACAGCUCCCCAAGGUGCUGCCUUCCAGCCUGUUACCGCAUGUUGGCAGCGUUUGGAGGGCAGCCGGUGCAGACAGACGGCACCAGGUGUGGGUAGUGCGAGGAGGGACGGACCCACGCAGGCACGGCAGCUCCUGCCUCCUCCUGCGGGCAGACUGAAGCUCCGAGUGCAGUUCAUCAACAGGAGUUCCUAA